RNAcentral lists this ribosomal RNA (484 nucleotides) under uncultured bacterium. RNAcentral's name for it is "partial 16S ribosomal RNA". It matches the Rfam family "Bacterial small subunit ribosomal RNA", at positions 30 to 507 of the family's 1533-position model. The record is from RNAcentral.
AUUGAACGCUGGCGGCAGGCCUAACACAUGCAAGUCGAGCGGAAGAAGGGAGCUGGCUCCUGGAUUCAGCGGCGGACGGGUGAGUAAUGCCUAGGAAUCUGCCUGGUAGUGGGGGAUAACGUCCGGAAACGGGCGCUAAUACCGCAUACGUCCUGCGGGAGAAAGUGGGGGAUCUUCGGACCUCAGGCUCUCAGAUGAGCCUAGGUCGGAUUAGCUAGUUGGUGGGGUAAAGGCCUACCAAGGCGACGAUCCGUAUCUGGUCUGAGAGGAUGAUCAGUCACACUGGAACUGAGACACGGUCCAGACUCCUACGGGAGGCAGCAGUGGGGAAUAUUGGACAAUGGGCGAAAGCCUGAUCCAGCCAUGCCGCGUGUGUGAAGAAGGUCUUCGGAUUGUAAAGCACUUUAAGUUGGGAGGAAGGGCAGUAAGUUAAUACCUUGCUGUUUUGACGUUACCAACAGAAUAAGCACCGGCUAACUUCGUG